Molecule: ribosomal RNA, 259 nt
Filed under: uncultured soil bacterium
Lineage: Bacteria
Description: partial 16S ribosomal RNA
Rfam family: Bacterial small subunit ribosomal RNA
Source: RNAcentral
AGAAUCAACGCUGGCGGCGUGCCUCAGACAUGCAAGUCGAACGCGAAAGUUCCCUUCGGGGACGAGUAGAGUGGCGCACGGGUGAGUAACACGUGAGUAACCUGCCCCUGACUCUGGAAUAAGCGCUGGAAACGGCGUCUAAUACCGGAUAUGACACCAAUCCGCAUGGGUAUGGUGUGGAAAGUUUUUCGGUUGGGGAUGGACUCGCGGCCUAUCAGCUUGUUGGUGAGGUAAUGGCUCACCAAGGCGAUGACGGGUA